Molecule: ribosomal RNA, 492 nt
Filed under: uncultured bacterium
Lineage: Bacteria
Description: partial 16S ribosomal RNA
Rfam family: Bacterial small subunit ribosomal RNA
Source: RNAcentral
AGUGAACGCUGGCGGUAGGCCUAACACAUGCAAGUCGAACGGCAGCACAGUAAGAGCUUGCUCUUACGGGUGGCGAGUGGCGGACGGGUGAGGAAUACAUCGGAAUCUACUUUUUCGUGGGGGAUAACGUAGGGAAACUUACGCUAAUACCGCAUACGACCUACGGGUGAAAGCAGGGGAUCUUCGGACCUUGCGCGAUUGAAUGAGCCGAUGUCGGAUUAGCUAGUUGGCGGGGUAAAGGCCCACCAAGGCGACGAUCCGUAGCUGGUCUGAGAGGAUGAUCAGCCACACUGGAACUGAGACACGGUCCAGACUCCGACGGGAGGCAGCGGUGGGGAAUAUUGGACAAUGGGCGAGAGCCUGAUCCAGCAAUACCGCGUGGGUGAAGAAGGCCUUCGGGUUGUAAAGCCCUUUUGUUGGGAAAGAAAAGCAGCAGGUUAAUACCCCGCUGUUCUGACGGUACCCAAAGAAUAAGCACCGGCUAACUUCGUG